GACGAACGCUGGCGGCGUGCUUAACACAUGCAAGUCGAACGGAAAGACCCUGCUUUUGUGGGGUGCUCGAGUGGCGAACGGGUGAGUAACACGUGAGUAACCUGCCCUUGACUUUGGGAUAACUUCAGGAAACUGGGGCUAAUACCGGAUAGGAGCUCCUGCUGCAUGGUGGGGGUUGGAAAGUUUCGGCGGGUGGGGAUGGACUCGCGGCUUAUCAGCUUGUUGGUGGGGUAGUGGCUUACCAAGGCUUUGACGGGUAGCCGGCCUGAGAGGGUGACCGGCCACAUUGGGACUGAGAUACGGCCCAGACUCCUACGGGAGGCAGCAGUGGGGAAUAUUGCACAAUGGGCGGAAGCCUGAUGCAGCAACGCCGCGUGCGGGAUGACGGCCUUCGGGUUGUAAACCGCUUUCGCCUGUGACGAAGCGUGAGUGACGGUAAUGGGUAAAGAAGCACCGGCUAACUACGUG
RNAcentral lists this ribosomal RNA (468 nucleotides) under uncultured bacterium. Its description in RNAcentral is "partial 16S ribosomal RNA". It matches the Rfam family "Bacterial small subunit ribosomal RNA", at positions 28 to 507 of the family's 1533-position model. The record is from RNAcentral.